AGCAGAGAAUUGCGAUUCAGGACACACAAGCUACUACAAAACCAUAGGCAAGUCAUGGAACAAAAAACAGGAAGGCUCUUUUACAGAGGAAAGAGGGGAGUUGGGAUUGCUGUUAUAAACGAAGUCCAUUAGAGCAAACUGGGAGUUCAUAGCAUAGUGGCUUUUCAUUGGCUGAAUUGUCUCACUGGCUGAGCUGUUGCUGGGAGAAGAGGAAAUCUUUUUUCCUGCAACUGGGAUAGUAGUGUCCACCUGCAUGGUCCUUGUCUUCCUGUUGGGGGUGGGAGGGGUCUACAACUAAGGAGUGAGAGGGCAUGAGAUCGCCCCCUGCUGGCCUCCUGACUCCACUUUUGUGAGUUUUCCUUCCACUAAUUUUCACAGGGUGAAUUUAAAAACCCAGUCCUAGCCUCUCCUCCUCCUGUGUAGGAAAAAACCCAGUUCUCCCUUCUCCUGUAUGUUUUUCCUUUCCUUUUACACAGAACACUUAACUUUUGACACUUCUGGCCACCAAAUGUUGGGGCAGGGGGAGCGAUUCCCCACAACCAAUUCUCUGCAACACCAGCUAGGUGUCCUACAGCUAAACUUACUUCUAACAAUGUCUACCUGGGGAUCCCUGGGUGGCGCAGCGGUUUGGCGCCUGCCUUUGGCCCAGGGCGCGAUCCUGGAGACCUGGGAUCAAGUCCCAUGUCGGGCUCCCGGUGCAUGGAGCCUGCUUCUCCCUCUGCCUGUGUCUCUGCGCCUCUCUCUCUCUGUGACUAUCAUAAAUAAAUAAAAAUUAAAAAAAAAAAAAAAAAACAAUGUCUACCUGGAGAUCGUGUCAGAUCCCAUAGAUCAUUUACCAGUGGGUUACUGUGUAUGUGUGGCGAGGGGAAGCUCCAGGGAAAUGUUUUGCUGGGGCAAGGAGUUUAGGUGUGUUGACAGAAAAGGGAAAUAUUGAAGGGAUAUCAGGCAGCCCAGUGACUGGCAUAGAGUAGAGUGAGGUGCUAAGAAUGGGAUGCAUACAGAAACCUCGUGUGAAAGUAACUGAAAAGUUCACAUUGGUGCUCACUUGUCAAGAGUGCAAAACACUAAUACCUAUUUCAUAUCCUUAGUGUGUUGAUUUCUAGGACAGAGCCUGUCCUUUUAUCACCUGCUCAGUAUACGCGCUGGUAAAAUAGAAACCACUUACCAUUUUUGGUUCUUUUUUUUAAAAUAGACUUUAAGAUCACAGCAUAAUUGAGAGGAAGGUACAGGGAUUUCACAUAUACCUCCCACCCCCACAAAUGCAAAGCUUCCCCCAUGAUUAAUGUCCCUACCAAAGUGGCACAUUUGUUUCAAGUGAUGAACCUUCCCUGACACACCCGUAUCACCCCAAGUCCAUAGUUUACUUUAGGGUUCCUCCUUGUUGUUGUAUAUUCCAUGCUGUAAAAACUCACAUAUAUUAUAGUAUCAUACAGAAGAGUUUUAUUGUCCAAAAAGCCCCAUGCUCCACCUAUUCAUCCCACUCUCCACUCCAUACCCUGGCAACCAUUAUCUUUUGACUCCAUAGUUUGGCCUUUUCCACAGUGUCAUACAGCUGAAAUCAUAUACCGUGUGACCUUUUAGAUUGGCUUCUUUCACUUAGUAAUAUGCGUUAAAGUUUCCUCCAUGUCCUUUCAUGCUUGACAGCUCAUUUCUUUUUAGUGCUGUCAUUCAGAACCUGGAACUAGUUUAUUUACCCAUUCACCUACCAUAGGACACCUUGGUUCCUUCUAAGUUUUGGCAAUUAUGAAUGAAGCUGCUAUAAAUACCCAAGGUUUUUAAUUCCUUCGGGUAUCAAGGAGCAUGAUUACUGGAAUAUAUAAGAGAAUGUUUACUUUUGUAAGGAACUGCCAACCUGUCUUCCAAAGUGGCUGUACCAUUUUGCAUUCCCACCAGCAGUGAGAAUUCAUGUUGCUCGGCAUCCUGGGCAGCAUUUGUUGGCCAUCUUUCAGAUUUUGGCCACUCUACUAGGUUGUAUAUUGGUAUCUCCUUGUUGUUGUUGUUUUUAAGUAAGCUCCAUGCUCAGGGUGGAGCCCAACAUGGACUCAUGACCCUGAGACCAAGACCUGAGCUAAGAUCAAGAGUCAGAUGCUUAACUGACUGAGCCUCCCAGGUGCCCCUCCCCUUAUAGUUUUUUGGGGUUUUAAGAUUGUAUUCAUUCAUUUGACAGAGAGAGCACAAGCAGGAGGAAUAGGAGAGGGAGAAGCAGGUUUCCUGCUGAGCAGGGAGCCUGUUGCAGGGCUUGAUGCCAGGACUCUGAGAUCAUGAACUGAGCCAAAGGCAGACACUUAACCAACUGGGCUACCUAGGUGCCCCUCCUUGUUGUUUCAAUUUGCAUAUCCCUGACCAUAUAUGAUGUGGAGCACAUUUUCAUAUGCUUACUUGCCAACUGUGUAUCUUCUCCAGUGAGGUGUCUGUGAAGGUUGGUUCUGUUUAUGUACAAAAAAACCCCAGCUUUUCCCCAAUGUGAGUACUUUUCUUCUUAAUGCUUUUCUGUAGUGCUUAAUUUUUUUCACAGUAAUAUUUCAUUUUUAUGUGAAAAAUGAAGCUAAAGAUGUUUAUAUUUAAAAAAAAAGAAGAAGAAAGAAAAACCCAGGGUAAGCGCACCUGAGUGGCUCAGGCAGUUAAGAAUUCCACUCUUGGUUUCAGCUCAAGUCAUAUCUCAGGGUCAUGAGAUUGAACCCUGCUUUGGGCUCCAUGCUCAGCACAGUCUGCUUGAGAUCUCCUCUCUCUCCCUUCCUCUCUGUCCCUCCCCCCACUGUGGUCUCUCUAAAUAAAUACAUAAAUAAAAUCUUAAAAAAAAAAAACCACCAAGGUGAAAAUAAAAAAAAAUUAAAUACAUACAUACAUACACACACACACGAAACCAGGGUAAGAUGCCUGGCUGGCUUAUUAGUCUGUAGAGCACAUAACUCCUGGUCUCCAAGUCAUGAGUUCAAGCCCUGCACUGGGUACAGAGAUUACUUAAGGAAAUAAAAAAAUAGGGACACCUGAGUGGCUCAGCAGCUGAGCGUCUGCCUUUGGCUCAGGGUGUGACCCUGGAGUCCUGGGAUCAAGUCCCACGUCGGGCUUCCUGCAUGGAGCCUGCUUCUUCUCCCUUUGCCUGUGUCUCUGCCUCUCUCUCAUGAAUAAAUAAAUAAAAUCUUUAAAAAAUUUUUUUUUAAUUAAAAAGGAAAAUAAAAAAAUAAAAAUAAUAGAAACAAAAAAUAAAAGAAAUCAAGGCUGGAAAGAGGCUGAGCAUGAAGACAAGUGCUUGUGUCUGCAACACCCCUCCCCACAUAAGCCUUUACAGAAACACAGCUCUCUCACAACAGAGCCACACCAACACACCCAACCUAUUUCCUUUGCUCAGCACCAUUUAAUGUAUUCAAGAACAGCUUUUUUUUUUUUUUAAACUUGAAAUAGGAAACAUCAUAGUCUUUUAGGAGCAAUACAUUUAAUACAAUCAUAAAAUUUCAAAUGAAAAAUAUAUAUUAUUCAUGCUACAGGUUUUCAAUCCUUCUUGGACAACAUAAAAAACACAGUACUCAAACUGCAUGUUUUCACAGGAGGAACACGAAUCUCAUUUGGACACAAAGACAAGUUUAAAAAAAAAAA
Molecule: long non-coding RNA, 3594 nt
Filed under: Canis lupus familiaris (dog)
Lineage: Eukaryota; Metazoa; Chordata; Mammalia; Carnivora; Canidae
Description: lncRNA (ENSCAFG00000055113.1)
Source: RNAcentral